This 86-nucleotide transfer RNA is filed under the name Fusobacterium mortiferum. Its description in RNAcentral is "tRNA-Leu". It matches the Rfam family "tRNA". Rfam says of the family: Transfer RNA (tRNA) molecules are approximately 80 nucleotides in length. Their secondary structure includes four short double-helical elements and three loops (D, anti-codon, and T loops). Lineage: Bacteria; Fusobacteriati; Fusobacteriota; Fusobacteriia; Fusobacteriales; Fusobacteriaceae. The record is from RNAcentral. RNAcentral also lists the same sequence under 2 other names.
GCAUGGGUGGCGGAAUGGUAGACGCGUAAGGUUGAGGUCCUUAUAGGUGUUUUCCUGUGAGAGUUCAAGUCUCUUCCCAUGCACCA